GACGAACCGUGCGAACGUUGUUCGGAAUCACUGGGCUUAAAGGGCGCGUAGGCGGCUUGUCAAGUCAGGGGUGAAAUCUUUCGGCUUAACCGGAAAAGUGCCUUUGAUACUGGCAAGCUCGAGGGAGGUAGGGGCAUGCGGAACUUCCGGUGGAGCGGUGAAAUGCGUUGAUAUCGGAAGGAACGCCGGUGGCGAAAGCGGCGUGCUGGAUCUCUUCUGACGCUGAGGCGCGAAAGCUAGGGGAGCGAACGGG
RNAcentral lists this ribosomal RNA (253 nucleotides) under uncultured bacterium. RNAcentral's name for it is "partial 16S ribosomal RNA". It matches the Rfam family "Bacterial small subunit ribosomal RNA", at positions 524 to 776 of the family's 1533-position model. The record is from RNAcentral.